Dromiciops gliroides (monito del monte) is the source of this 375-nucleotide non-coding RNA. NCBI's taxonomy places the organism in Eukaryota, Metazoa, Chordata, Mammalia, Microbiotheria, Microbiotheriidae. The record is from the annotation of a RefSeq genome assembly.
GGAGCAGAGCACUUGGGGUCCCCUGCACCAUGGCCUGGCCUCUUGUCUGCCUCUUCCUGCUCACUGUCUGCUUAGGUUCCUUUUCCCAGCCUGUGCUGGCUCAGUCACCCUCCAUGUCUGCAUCCCUGGGAGCCACAGCCAAACUCUCCUGCUCCCUGAGCAGUCAGCACAGCAGCUACACUAUUGAAUGGUACCAGCAGAGCCCAGGGAAGGCCCCUCGGUAUAUCAUGUGGGUAAAAAGUAAUGGAAGUGCAGGCAGGGGCGAUGGGAUCCCUGAUCGCUUCUCUGGCUCUGCCUCUGGGGCCAACAGAUAGUUGUCCAUCAGCAACAUCCAGCCUGACAAUGAGGCCGAUUAUUACUGUGGAGCAGAUUAUG